This 250-nucleotide ribosomal RNA is filed under the name uncultured prokaryote. Its description in RNAcentral is "partial 16S ribosomal RNA". It matches the Rfam family "Bacterial small subunit ribosomal RNA", at positions 524 to 773 of the family's 1533-position model. The record is from RNAcentral.
UACGUAGGGGGCAAGCGUUAUCCGGAUUUACUGGGUGUAAAGGGAGCGUAGACGGCAUAACAAGUCUGAAGUGAAAUCCCGCGGCUCAACCGCGGAACUGCUUUGGAAACUGUUAAGCUAGAGUGCAGGAGGGGUAAGUGGAAUUCCUAGUGAAGCGGUGAAAUGCGUAGAUAUUAGGAGGAACACCAGUGGCGAAGGCGGCUUACUGGACUGUAACUGACGUUGAGGCUCGAAAGCGUGGGGAGCAAAC